Molecule: ribosomal RNA, 253 nt
Filed under: uncultured bacterium
Lineage: Bacteria
Description: partial 16S ribosomal RNA
Rfam family: Bacterial small subunit ribosomal RNA
Source: RNAcentral
GACGUAGGGCGCGAGCGUUGUCCGGAUUUAUUGGGCGUAAAGAGCUCGUAGGCGGCUUGUCGCGUCGACCGUGAAAACUUGGGGCUCAACCCCAAGCCUGCGGUCGAUACGGGCAGGCUCGAGUUCGGUAGGGGAGACUGGAAUUCCUGGUGUAGCGGUGAAAUGCGCAGACAUCAGGAGGAACACCGGUGGCGAAGGCGGGUCUCUGGGCCACUACUGACGCUGAGAAGCGAAAGCAUGGGGAGCGAACAGG